RNAcentral lists this ribosomal RNA (492 nucleotides) under uncultured bacterium. RNAcentral describes it as "bacterial SSU rRNA". It matches the Rfam family "Bacterial small subunit ribosomal RNA", at positions 30 to 513 of the family's 1533-position model. The record is from RNAcentral.
AUUGAACGCUGGCGGCAGGCCUAACACAUGCAAGUCGAGCGGUAGAGAGGUGCUUGCAUCUCUUGAGAGCGGCGGACGGGUGAGUAAUGCCUAGGAAUCUGCCUGGUGGUGGGGGAUAACGUUCGGAAACGGACGCUAAUACCGCAUACGUCCUACGGGAGAAAGCGGGGGGAUCUUCGGACCUCGCGCCAUUAGAUGAGCCUAGGUCGGAUUAGCUAGUUGGUGAGGUAAUGGCUCACCAAGGCGACGAUCCGUAACUGGUCUGAGAGGAUGAUCAGUCACACUAGAACUGAGACACGGUCCAGACUCCUACGGGAGGCAGCAGUGGGGAAUAUUGGACAAUGGGCGAAAGCCUGAUCCAGCCAUGCCGCGUGUGUGAAGAAGGUCUUCGGAUUGUAAAGCACUUUAAGUUGGGAGGAAGGGUAGGUAACCUAAUACGUUGCUACUUUGACGUUACCGACAGAAUAAGCACCGGCUAACUUCGUGCCAGCA